Molecule: long non-coding RNA, 1354 nt
Organism: Styela clava
Lineage: Eukaryota; Metazoa; Chordata; Ascidiacea; Stolidobranchia; Styelidae
Source: RefSeq, a predicted model, not a curated record
UCUGUUUUUUGCAAUAUAAGCUCAAUAAACUGAAAAGGACCUCAAUUCACAACUUCGUACUAAAGAGGCUUUGUGUCGCAAUAGUAAAACUGUCGGGUUCGCCGGGAACUUUACCACGUUUGCCGUUUUGUUCGCAAGUAACCUGGACGCCAUGAGGGGAUUGGGAUCUUCAUGAGUGCGUGAUUGCAGAAAUUUAGAUAAAAUAGAACAGUUGUGUUUGGGGAAGAGAUCCAAGUCUUUUGUGUCAGGUGUUAUAGUUACCCAGUGAGUUGGAGUCGAGUCAUAAUAACUUGAAACAAGGUUUUCAUCGUCACCGAGGAAUGCUGCUGGAAAUCAUCACUCAUCGGAUAAGGUGACUCCCCAACGAGAUGGCCUACGUUUCAGAACUUGGCAGACGGAAAUGCGGGUAGUGAUUCUGAGAAAGCUGUGCCAAGAGUUUCAGAUAAGUCAACAGACUAUACCGCACCAUCUUCAGAAUCACUUUCAAUAAGCAAUGUAAGUGAUUUCGAAGACAACCAUAUAUAUGGAAAAGAAAAAGGCUGUAAAUCAAUUAAAAAAAAAGCUUCUAAACAAACGCGAACCAGAAAAGAAACGACGAAAAGAAAAAUAAUUGCACGGCUUUGUAUAUCUUGCGAGAAGUUUAUUGUAAAGCUUCAAGACAUCUCUGUAUAAUUCAUAAAGAUGAACCGGCAGUGAGCAUAAUUUUGUCUCUCCUCAACAACCUAAUCUAGUGGGCAUAUCUACAUUCGUAUACAUACUUAGCAUACAUUUUUACUAUUUAAUUAUAAAUUCAAAAUAUGUUUUUGUAUUCCGAGUUGGUGCAAAAAUUUUAAAUAAAUUCUGCAAAGAUUCUAAAUUGAUAUUGAGGUUCAAUAAUUUCAUUUUGAUCGUCUGUAUAGUUGACUGUAUAAUCACUGCUAUACUUAGGCGCCCUGAUAGAUAGACAUUUGAGUUAUAAUUGGUGUAAUAUUUCUCAUUUUAGUUGACAUGGCAAAAUUUCGUUUCGCAUUUAUAGCCCCCACUGAAAACGUCACUUUAUUGAACAUUUGAGAUAUGUUGUGUGUAAUGUUUCUCGGUAUUUUUUUCAGAAUUUCGUGUUUUAAUUACAUACCUUCUGAAAUGGUCGGAUGGUUGAAAUUGUUGAAAGUUUUUUUGAAUGCUUCUCAAUAUUAUUGCCAUUCCAAAAUAUCAUUUUGCAUUUACAUGACACACUUACGUAGAUGAGUAGAUGACGAUUUGCGAUUUAUUUUCUGUUUUGUUUUUCAAUAUGGUUUCAAAAUUUUGUUUUAUAAUAUUUGUCACUCUCAAGUUAUCGGAUAGGUGAACAUUAGAGAUAAAUUUUGAGCAAUUUUCC